Molecule: ribosomal RNA, 307 nt
Filed under: uncultured cyanobacterium
Lineage: Bacteria; Bacillati; Cyanobacteriota
Description: partial 16S ribosomal RNA
Source: RNAcentral
GGAGUUUGGUCCGUUUCUCAAUUCCAAUGUGGCUGAUUGUCCUCUCAAACCAGCUAGAGAUCGUCGCCUUGGUGGUCCAUUACACCGCCAACUAGCUAAUCAGAUGCAGGCUCAUCCUAGAGCACCGGAGUUUUCAAGAUUAGUAUUUCAACUAAGCUCAUAUGGGGUAUUAGCAGAAGUUUCCCUCUGUUGUCCCCCUCUCUAGGGCAGAUUUCCUACAUAUUACUCACCCGUCCGCCACUUUCCACUGACCGAAGUCAGCUUCUCGUUCGACUUGCAUGUAUGAAGCACGCCGCCAGCGUUCGUC